CUUCCUUUUCAUGCUCCCCUUUUUUUAAACCCCCCCCCCCGGUCUAAACCUGGUGAGAGGAAGUAAGGGGGAAGCGUGUUUUUAAAGCACUACCGGGAGUACUUAAUCUAACCGAACGGUGUUUGUGGCACUUUAGUUCCCGCCCGGCGCGCCUUUGGUAAACCUUAGUGACCAGCUGGCUCAUCCACUAGACCUUUUGAAAAUACGGUGGCUGUGGUUGGGAACUAAAGUGUUUUGCUCUCCAAAGCCGGACUGUCCCUGAAAGUGAAAUUACUUUUCAUUGCUGUAAUACUCUUAGUUUACACCUUUGAACAUCCACAAACUUCGUGUUUUACGGUUACUUAACUUGCUAAAAAGCCUCUGUGUGCUUUGAAGUUGCGAGUUUCAUAACGUAUCGCUGUUCAUGUUUGAGUGGUAGAGCUUACUAAUGCGGAUUACUACUCAUUUGAAGUAAAUAAAGUUUCUGCUGUAGUUUAAUAAAUUACCUCCUUCCAGCCCUCCAAUGUAUAUAGUUAGAUAUAGAUUCUGUGAUAAACGGAAGCGAUAUAUAUUUUUAUCAUAGAAAGCUAAAGGCAAGAAAUAGGAUACAAUAGCCUACGGUGAAAUUAAAAGUACCUUUGUCAUGGUUUUGAAAGUAAUUUGACAUAGCAGAUAUGCAUUAUCAGCAGAUAUGCAAAUUUGUUUAGAUGCCAACAGGAACUGGUGUAGCCAGUAGAAAAAAAAAGGUUUAUUUUGCUAGGUUGUUCAUUUCAUUAAAUACUCCUUUUCACCGUUUUGUGUUUUAUUGGUUUUUCACUUUAGGGAAAUUCGAGAAGGAACAACACAGUCCUACAUGGCCCCUCCCCCAACCAUGCCUUCCUGUCUCUUCUGCUUUCUCUUCCUCUCAAGUUAGCAUCUACUGCCAUAAGUAAUACACUGUGAAACCUGAGGAGCUAUCUCAGCAGAAAAGACCUUGCCUUGUGGACUUCAACUCUGGAGACACUAAGCCCGGCAAGAGAAAAAAGAAAUUGUAAGUAGAGUUCUCAUACAUUAGAUGUGCCUAGUCCCCGGCCAAAUGAUACGGCAGAGAAGGGUACUGGGCCUAGGUGGAAAUGAGUGUGGCGGGUUUA
Molecule: long non-coding RNA, 1109 nt
Filed under: Mus spicilegus (steppe mouse)
Lineage: Eukaryota; Metazoa; Chordata; Mammalia; Rodentia; Muridae
Description: lncRNA (ENSMSIG00000009047.1)
Source: RNAcentral